UUACGGGAGGCAGCAGCGAGGAAUAUUGCACAAUGGGCGCAAGCCUGAUGCAGUAACGCCGCGUGCGGGAUGAAGGCCUUCGGGUCGUAAACCGCUUUUCGGAGGGACGAGCAAGGACGGUACCUCUGGAAUCAGUCUCGGCUAACUACGUGCCAGCAGCCGCGGUAAAACGUAGGAGGCGAGCGUUAUCCGGAUUCACUGGGCGUAAAGCGCAGGUAGGUGGUUCGUUAAGUUGGUUGUGAAAGCCCCUGGCUCAACUGGGGGAGGUCAGCCAAAACUGGCGGACUGGAGGUUCCGAGAGGAGAGCGGAAUUCCCGGUGUAGCGGUGGAAUGCGUAGAGAUCGGGAGGAACACCAGUGGCGAAAGCGGCUCUCUGGCGGAAAACUGACACUGAACUGCGAAAGCGUGGGUAGCAAACGGGAUUAGAUACCCCGGUAGC
This 439-nucleotide ribosomal RNA is filed under the name uncultured bacterium. RNAcentral's name for it is "bacterial SSU rRNA". It matches the Rfam family "Bacterial small subunit ribosomal RNA", at positions 339 to 794 of the family's 1533-position model. The record is from RNAcentral.